CAGUAGCCGCGGUAAUACGUAGGGUGCAAGCGUUAAUCGGAAUUACUGGGCGUAAAGCGUGCGCAGGCGGUUAUAUAAGACAGAUGUGAAAUCCCCGGGCUCAACCUGGGAACUGCAUUUGUGACUGUAUAGCUAGAGUACGGCAGAGGGGGAUGGAAUUCCGCGUGUAGCAGUGAAAUGCGUAGAUAUGCGGAGGAACACCGAUGGUGAAGGCAAUCCCCUGGGCCUGUACUGACGCUCAUGCACGAAAGCGUGGGGAGCAAACAGGAUUAGAGACCCGCGUAGUCCCUGUCUCUUAUAC
RNAcentral lists this ribosomal RNA (301 nucleotides) under uncultured bacterium. Its description in RNAcentral is "partial 16S ribosomal RNA". It matches the Rfam family "Bacterial small subunit ribosomal RNA", at positions 509 to 807 of the family's 1533-position model. The record is from RNAcentral.